UGUUUUUUAGUGAGUUGGCUGGUGGCUGGUUGGUUUGUGGCUGCAAAGUGGGUCCGAUUUGGCUAUUCUCUUUUAUAUGGAAUGCCGUUUCUUAAAUCGAGAUUGGACACUUAAUCUAGAUUUAACACUUUGGUGCAUUUCACCCUUAGUCAACAGAACUGUCGUCAAAUAUGUAUGGAAUUUCGAAUGUCAAAAAACCAAUAAUAUAAUGGACCGAGUAUAAGUAGAUUAUAAAAUGGUCUGACAUGAUGCACAAAGCCAACUAAAUAAAGAUAAUGCAAGGAAGAAGAAGAAGUAGAUUAUUAAUUACUUCAAAUAAGUAUAUAUCUACUAUCUAGCAUUUGUUAUGAUGCUGGCAGCAGAAUCAUCCUGUACAAAGAGAUGUACCUAAUAAGGGAAAACAGUGAAAACCUUAAAAUUGAGAAGAAUUGCUUUCAGAUAUUUCAACAGAUAUUUAGGUCAAUAGCAAAUAUAAUAAAGUUACCUAGUUCGUUUAAAUUUAGUGGCAUUUUUUUUUGUGAAAUUCAUUCAUAAUGUACCUACUUACCUAGUAUUUUUUAUCAGAUCCCUACUUAUAUAGUGCAUUUUAAAACAUGUGCAACGUCACCACAUCAACUGAGCCUUCAGCCACCGACCACACUGCAUUCUGUCGCAUAUUCACUCUUGUGUGUACGCAGCAUACAUGUCACUUAGCAAACAAAUGGAGGAAAAAGCUAACCUCAACACUAGAAGUAAAUAAUUAUGAAGGUUUUAUAAAACUAUUCUUACCCAAUGGAAAGCGAAAGUUUUUUCAUAAGGCUAUCGGUGAAAUUAGCAUUUAUAAGCUUUGAGGGUGCUAAUAGUUAAGAAUAUUUUUAGGUUUUUGACCAAAACAUAUCCAAAUACCAAUGACGAAGGGCAAAGUCGUCAAUG
Molecule: non-coding RNA, 912 nt
Organism: Plutella xylostella (diamondback moth)
Lineage: Eukaryota; Metazoa; Arthropoda; Insecta; Lepidoptera; Plutellidae
Source: RefSeq, a predicted model, not a curated record